CGGCGAGCGAAGCGGGAAGAGCUCAAAUUUAUAAUCUGGCACCUUCGGUGUCCGAGUUGUAAUCUCUAGAAGUGUUUUCCGCGUUGGACCGCACACAAGUCUGUUGGAAUACAGCGGCAUAGUGGUGAAACCCCCGUAUAUGGUGCGGACGCCCAGCGCUUUGUGAUACACUUUCAAUGAGUCGAGUUGUUUGGGAAUGCAGCUCAAAUUGGGUGGUAAAUUCCAUCUAAAGCUAAAUAUUGGCGAGAGACCGAUAGCGAACAAGUACCGUGAGGGAAAGAUGAAAAGCACUUUGGAAAGAGAGUUAACAGUACGUGAAAUUGUUGGAAGGGAAACGCUUGAAGUCAGACUUGCUUGCCGGACUUGUUCGGUUUGCAGGCCAGCAUCAGUUUUCUGGGGUGGAUAAUGGCGGUUUGAAGGUAGCAGCUUCGGCUGUGUUAUAGCUUUCCGCUGGAUACAUCCUGGGGGACUGAGGAACGCAGCGUGCUUUUUGCGAAGGUUUCGACCUUUUCACGCUUAGGAUGCUGGUGAAAUGACUUUAAACGACCCGUCUUGAAACACGGAC
Molecule: ribosomal RNA, 565 nt
Filed under: Rhodotorula sp. CFL-2020b
Lineage: Eukaryota; Fungi; Basidiomycota; Microbotryomycetes; Sporidiobolales; Sporidiobolaceae
Description: partial large subunit ribosomal RNA
Rfam family: Eukaryotic large subunit ribosomal RNA
Source: RNAcentral